Molecule: ribosomal RNA, 468 nt
Filed under: uncultured bacterium
Lineage: Bacteria
Description: partial 16S ribosomal RNA
Rfam family: Bacterial small subunit ribosomal RNA
Source: RNAcentral
GACGAACGCUGGCGGCGUGCUUAACACAUGCAAGUCGAACGGAAAGGCCCUGCUUUUGUGGGGUGCUCGAGUGGCGAACGGGUGAGUAACACGUGAGUAACCUGCCCUUGACUUUGGGAUAACUUCAGGAAACUGGGGCUAAUACCGGAUAGGAGCUCCUGCUGCAUGGUGGGGGUUGGAAAGUUUCGGCGGUUGGGGAUGGACUCGCGGCUUAUCAGCCUGUUGGUGGGGUAGUGGCUUACGAAGGCUUUGACGGGUAGCCGGCCUGAGAGGGUGACCGGCCACAUUGGGACUGAGAUACGGCCCAGACUCCUACGGGAGGCAGCAGUGGGGAAUAUUGCACAAUGGGCGGAAGCCUGAUGCAGCAACGCCGCGUGCGGGAUGACGGCCUUCGGGUUGUAAACCGCUUUCGCCUGUGACGAAGCGUGAGUGACGGUAAUGGGUAAAGAAGCACCGGCUAACUACGUG